Molecule: long non-coding RNA, 3532 nt
Organism: Coturnix japonica (Japanese quail)
Lineage: Eukaryota; Metazoa; Chordata; Aves; Galliformes; Phasianidae
Source: RefSeq, a predicted model, not a curated record
GGUGUCUGUGAGUCAGUACUGAGCCCCUACGGUCGGUACUGAGCCGAUACCGUCAGUGCUGAGCCCCUACGGCCAGUACUGGGCCCAUACGGUCAGUGCUGAGCCCAUACGGUCGGUGCUGAGCCCAUACGGUCGGUGCUGAGCCCAUACGGUCGGUGCUGAGCCCAUACCUUCAGUACUGAGCCCAUACCUUCAGUACUGAGCCCAUACCUUCAGUACUGAGCCCAGAUAGGCAUUGCUGCGUCCAUCCUUACCACCACCUCAAUUUUGCUAUGAUGGAGAUUUAGGUUUAGAAUUGUGUGCAAGAGGGACUGUGUGUAUUAAAAGCAAUACGCAGCGUGGCGCGCUGAUAGCUUUGGCAUGUGUUACAUAGUACAGCGUGCACGCUUUGACAUUGAGCCUUCCAUGUGGUGUCCCAGCUCUGCACACUGCUAUGCCUCUUCUUAAAGCAUAAGAACAUCAAUUCUUGCUUUCUUCUCUGCUUAUUAGUCCUUAAAGUUAGGACGGUGUGUGUGUCUGAAGCAAUUCACAUGCAACAAACCAUUGAUAGCAUUUAACAUCAACCUGGGAGCGAUCAGAACUUGUCUGUAUGGUUUGAUCUCCACGUCACUGUCUGAAUGAGAGACUGGUUGUGGCUUGUGGAAAAGAAACAUGGUGAUGCAGCACUUAAGGACAUGGUUUAAUGGGCUGUAUUGGUGGUAAGCAGACAGCUGGACUGGGUGAUCGUAGAGGUCUUUUCCAACCUGAAUGAUUCAGUGGACAGAGUGCAGCAAAGCAAGUCUUUAAAUGCUCUGUAUGGAAUGAGAUGUAUCUGAUAUGGGAGGCCUAAGUUGGUGCAAAGACUUCUUUUAAAAGCAUAAAGAAUAUCUGAGAAAUGCGAGUGUUUAUCUCUUGUUGCUCUAGUGGCAUUAAGCUUAAAAGCUGAUGAGGGACUUGGGGCUUUAGUUGCCUAAUACUUUUCCAUUAGAAAAGCUGUUUAAUAAUUUUGAGUAAACUGAAACUUUCCUUGUUUAUAACAGGCCUUUGAAAAGUGUCAAGUGCUCUGGAGCAGUGUUUUGUCUUCUGAAAUUCUAUUCAGGUUUGCCUGACAAACAUAUCCGGAUAUGUUUAUGUUUCCAUACCACUGGUUGCUUUAUCAUAAAAUAUUAAGUAUGCCAGAUUAUAAACAAGAGCUUCUUCCAUGCUGCAGCUGUAGGGGUCCAUUAUGUGCAGAGCUUCCCUGGGAUGCUGGAAGAAACAGAUUCAGAUUCAUGAUGCAGCAUUCCUCUUCAUCAGGCCUUUUGUUUUCAUUGGUGUUUUAAUCUGUCUGAAAGUGGUAAUGGAGGAAAUAAGACGUAAAACUUUGGCUUUAGAGUUCUGCUUGUUAUCUUCACAGUGGCAUUGAGUAGAGGUCUAAGUAAAACUCAGAUUGAUCACUAUAUUGCCUCAGGUUGGCAGAUGAGCUGCACUCUUUGAUUUUUAUCCUUCUCCUCAGGUGCAAUAGAGAUUUUAGUUGUUGUAGAUACUAGAUUAAAAGAACAGCAACCUCUUUUAUGGCAAUAACAGCAGGAUGGACUCUCUGUGAACUCUCUAACACCCCAGAAAGUGCUUCCUAUUGCAGUAAGUGACUGAAGAUGAUGCUGGCCUUGAAAAGGGACGUGGCUUGGGCAAACUGUUAACUCAGUGGCAGCACCAACUCAAUGGCAAUGAUUAUUUUCUCUGCAGGAGUUCAAAACCUUGCAUGGUUGUGGUGACUUUUUGUUAUGUUGCUUCUGUGUUGGAGUCUCCAAUAAACUCUCAAGGGUAGUUGUUAUAAUGGAAAGAAAACAGGUGAACUUUUUCACUUGAGAACUUGUCAGUUAUGUGAGAUGUAGAGAUAGACCAAAUCCUCACUUCUUUGUUGGGUGCUGGCUUCCAUCCUCUGUGUUCCAUCAUAUCCCAAGCACAAGGGGCAGUUAAGUACCAUCAGAACCAGCUGGGAUGAAAGUGAACCUGGUGAUGAGCUCUGCAUUUUCCCCUUUAGGUGCUGUAAUAAAGAUGGACAUUCAGUUUCUGAAGCUUUACAAGCAUCUGUGAGAACUGUAGCAACCUAUAACUGCACUGAUUUAAUGUGAGGAAUGAAGAUACUCUCCUCUGCUGCCUGUGUACCUUUAUAAGCAAAAGUAUUUUGUGAGAUAAUAGCAAUGGGGUAUAUGCAGCCUGUCCUGUAUUAUUAGUCUGUUAGGCUUCCCACUGGUCUCUUAAAGCAGUUUGUUUGUGUAUGGCUCUGAUGUUUGUAGUUAUGCUGUACUGUUUUAGUUGGAGAUGUCCUGUCUCUACAACAUCCAAAAUACAUAUUUAUUUUAAGCUGUAUCUUCUGAAAUCCAGUGUUAUAUUUUUGACCUUUCGGUCACUACUUGGAUGCAUCUUGUAAUCCAGUAUUUAAAGUCUUUCUUUUUUCCUGUAUGAAAUAGAUCUGUUGUCAGGUCUAUUGAAGGCAGUAUUUCAUUUCAAAGGAUUGAGUACUUAAAACCACUGUGUAAAAUGUCAAAUCGCAGCUAAAUGGGGUUUGUGUGCUAUCCUCCUUUUGAAGGAGACUGUCUUUUUCUAUGGCUAAUGAUGAGGAUGAGUCUAAAUCUGGCUGCAACCACAGUGUUCUGUGCACAGUGGGCUGGUUUGCAUGUCCUUGGCUAACCAAGGGGUUCCUAUGGUGAGUGAUGCAGAUCACUCUGACUUUGGCCUUGCAGAGACCUCAACCAAAUUGCUUCCAACCCCGCUGCUUAAAGGGUUUUGAUGUUGGCUUUGUUUUCUCUUUGUUUUUUAACUGAUAGUUUUUGCCUCUUUAUUUAGAAAGACAGCUACAUGUAAAAGACUGGCAGAGCGUUUUUCCUCUGUUAGGCUGUAAUUUAGGGCUGUUUUCAGAGCAAAGAGUGUGUAUGUAAGCAGAGGUGGAAUUUCUAUGCAUGUGUGUUGUGUUGUUUUGGAACUGUUGUAUUUUUACAGUAUUAAAUGUUGUAAUUUACCUGUAACCAGAAGGUAAUCCAGGAAAUCUAUUUACUUUUUGGCUCGCAUGUUAAGUUGCUGUGCUGACAUCAGUUUAUUUUUUGCAGAAGAUGAAUGUUUUGGAGUAUGUCUGUGUUUGACCAAGAUUCAGCCUGGAAGCUUAUGAAGAACUCAGCAUAGUAACGUCCAUUUUCCUCUAAUCCUCUGUUUUGACAUCUGAAAAUAAAAUGCUUCUAAUUCCCAUUUAAUAGGAAUUUUUUAAGGGAAGAAGGCACUUUAUUCUCCUGCAACUGUUUCAUGAUUUCUUCUGGCUUGCAUCAUCUUGCCUGCUUGAAUAGCUGUUUCUGUUAAUGGUGGCAGCUGGUUCUGUGUGUUUGGCUUGUGCCUCCAUGCCAGGGAGCUGGCAGCAGUGCUAUGGGGAAGCCCUGGAUAUACUUCUGUUGUGCCAGGAAGCCCAAAGGAAGAGCUGUGAUGUCCAUGAGAUACUGCAGCCAUUUGAAACCUCCUGACUUCAUAAGGUUUCUUCUGCUGGAAAUAAAUUCAAAGCUCAUCAACUUCCUCAUCCUCUGCA